GGAAGGAUCAUUACAAGAGUUAUGGUUGCUAAUUUUUAGCGCCAACUCCCACCCAUUGUGUACCAACUUUGUUUGUCUUUGGCGAAGCGAUUUUUGCUUCAUCGCUUAAACCACUGACAGCGAUACUGCUGUGAGUGAGUCUUUGCCAAAGGUUUUUUUAAAACUCUAUACUUUAUAGUCGUCCGAGUUUAUUUUUUGAAUAAAUCAAAACUUUCAACAACGGAUCUCUUGGUUCUGGCAUCGAUGAAGAACGCAGCGAAAUGCGAUAAGUAAUGUGAAUUGCAGAAUUCAGUGAAUCAUCGAAUCUUUGAACGCAUAUUGCACCUUAGAGUAUUCUCUAAGGUAUACCUGUUUGAGCGUCGUUUAGAACAUAAAGCAAAGCUUUUUUGUUAGAUUUUGGUUUCAGCGACCAACUUCUCAAAUGUAGUGGCGUUGUUUUGUUAACCAAUACACAGUGAAAUGUGAACUGGUCUGCAAAAUUCAAUUUGCCAGUUAAAAAUUUUUUUGUUCGACCUCAAAUCAAGUAAGACUACCCGCUGAACUUAAGCAUAUCAAUAAGCGGAGGAAAAGAAACCAACAGGGAUUGCCUUAGUAACGGCGAGUGAAGCGGCAAAAGCUCAAAUUUGAAAUCUGCCACUAGGCCGAAUUGUAAUUUGUAGAGGAACGUUCGGUGAAGCCUUAGUCCAAGUCUUCUGGAAGGAAGCGCCAAUGAGGGUGAGAGCCCCGUAGGAUGACUGGCUGAACCAUGUGUACGUCCUUCGAAGAGUCGAGUUGUUUGGGAAUGCAGCUCAAAACGGGUGGUAAAUUCCAUCUAAAGCUAAAUAUUGGCCAGAGACCGAUAGCGCACAAGUAGAGUGAUCGAAAGAUGAAAAGCACUUUGGAAAGAGAGUGAAACAGUACGUGAAAUUGUUGAAAGGGAAGCGCUUGCAACCAGACUUGUUCUUUAGGUUCAGCAACUGUUUUCAGUUGUGUACUUCCUAUUUGACAGGCCAACAUCGGUUUUUUGGGUCGGAAAAAAUUAUUGGGAACGUAGCUCUCUCGGGAGUGUUAUAGCCCUUUGAAGAAUACGGCCACAGAAGACCGAGGACCGCCUUUUGAAGGAUGUUGGCGUAAUGGUUGCUAGCGGCCCGUCUUGAAACACGGACCAAGGAGUCUAACAUCUGUGCGAGUGUUUGGGUGUUAAACCCGCUCGCGUAAUGAAAGUGAACGGAGGUGAGAGCAUUUUUGCGCAUCAUCGACCGAUCCUGAUGUCCUCGGAUGGAUUUGAGUAAGAGCACAGCUGUUGGGACCCGAAAGAUGGUGAACUAUGCGUGAAUAGGGCGAAGCCAGAGGAAACUCUGGUGGAGGCUCGCAGCGGUUCUGACGUGCAAAUCGAUCGUCAAAUUUGCGUAUAGGGGCGAAAGACUUAUCGAACCAUCUAGUAGCUGGUUCCUGC
RNAcentral lists this unclassified non-coding RNA (1435 nucleotides) under uncultured fungus. Its description in RNAcentral is "sequence contains 18S rRNA gene, ITS1, 5.8S rRNA gene, ITS2, 28S rRNA gene". The stretch from base 510 to 1435 matches the Rfam family "Eukaryotic large subunit ribosomal RNA", at positions 1 to 961 of the family's 3401-position model. The record is from RNAcentral. Lineage: Eukaryota; Fungi.